RNAcentral lists this ribosomal RNA (376 nucleotides) under uncultured bacterium. Its description in RNAcentral is "bacterial SSU rRNA". It matches the Rfam family "Bacterial small subunit ribosomal RNA", at positions 524 to 898 of the family's 1533-position model. The record is from RNAcentral.
UACAGAGGGUGCAAGCGUUGUUCGGAAUUAUUGGGCGUAAAGCGCGUGUAGGCGGCAAAGCAUGUCGGGUGUGAAAGCCCUCGGCUCAACCGAGGAAGUGCGCCCGAAACUACUUUGCUUGAGUACCGGAGAGGAUGGCGGAAUUCCCGGUGUAGAGGUGAAAUUCGUAGAUAUCGGGAGGAACACCAGUGGCGAAGGCGGCCGUCUGGACGGAUACUGACGCUGAGACGCGAAAGCGUGGGUAGCAAACAGGAUUAGAUACCCUGGUAGUCCACGCCGUAAACGAUGGGCACUAGGUGUCGCGGGUGUUGACCCCUGCGGUGCCGUAGCUAACGCAUUAAGUGCCCCGCCUGGGAAGUACGGCCGCAAGGCUAAA